AAGAGUCUGCUCUCACAGCUCCCAUCUCACCUACCUCAACUUCUGUCCUAUCAGGACCUACUUGUGAGCUCUCUCCUCUGAGCAUGAAGCUGGCUCUUAGUGUUGCUUCUGCAACUGCUAUUGCCAUUGAUGAUUGUUCUUCUCUCCCAUGGGAGAGUGAGAGGGGGAGAAAGCAGUCUGAGUGGU
This is a small nucleolar RNA of Mesocricetus auratus (golden hamster), 186 nucleotides long. Its record names the gene U3. It matches the Rfam family "Small nucleolar RNA U3". From Rfam's summary of the family: Small nucleolar RNAs (snoRNAs) are involved in the processing and modification of rRNA in the nucleolus. There are two main classes of snoRNAs: the box C/D class, and the box H/ACA class. U3 snoRNA is a member of the box C/D class. The record is from Ensembl. NCBI's taxonomy places the organism in Eukaryota, Metazoa, Chordata, Mammalia, Rodentia, Cricetidae.